CUUUUUAUGUACCACAGGUGUACUGUAUAUGUACCUUAGGUGUACUGUAUGUGUACCACAGGUGUUUUGUAUGUGUUCUACAUGUUUUCUGAAUGCAUUCCACAAGUCUUGUAUUCAUAUAAGAAAUUUGUCUAGAUACAGUGUAUUAUUAUGGAAUUUAUAUAACAUAUGAUUUUUUGUAUUUUUAGAUUGAAAAGGGAGAUUAUACCUACAUGCAACAUAUAGAUGUACCACUCACACAUGGAUCAUUGUUAAUUAUGGAAGGGUCUACACAAGAUGACUGGCAGCAUCGAAUUCCAAGAGAAUACCAUGAUAGAUCUGGGAGAAUAAAUCUGACUUUUAGAGUUAUCUUUCCUGAGAUAUAGAUCCGAUAUAGCUAUUUAAUGAUUUUGUUUACCAACCUAUUGACUGUUAAAAUUUUUUGGCCAAAAAAUUAUUUAUAUGCAAAAAAUGAAAAUGUUGUUAUUUUUUUAUGUUGUAACUUGUUACACUGAAGAUGUAUAGAAAGGUAGACAAUCAUAAUAUGGAAGAGAAUUUUCACAUCAAGAGUUGUCUCUCCUGAUAUAUAGUUAUAACAGAGUUUGUGGUAUUUUAUUUCAUACUGCAAUAUGUCGUUGGUUGUUUACAUAUUUCUAACUAUUUAUUUGCUUUGCAUGAUUAAUAUACUUGAUUAAACUGUGAUGAAUUUUUUUAUAUAUUCAGCUUUUCACUUAAUUGUUUUUGAAAUUGUUUUUAGUCAGUGUUUAAUGUCAGUUUUUAUUUUUGUUUACAUACAAUUUUGUUGAAAUAUAAUAGAUAUAAUAAAUAUAAAAUAGAAAUGAGAUAUUUUUUCCAAAGUUGCCUUUAUUGAAUUUGACUUUAGCUUAAAGGUGCUUAUUUCAAAGCAUUUUUUAUCACUUUAUCAAAGUCUCUUUUUUCUUCUUUGCAAUGUGUAUGUAAUAUUAAUUUAGCGUAUAUAGAAUGAUGCAAUGUAUUAACUAUUAUACAAAAGACUUACUUGUAUUACCAGCAAUUACUACCUUACUUUUUGCAUGGACAAUUGUUGUACUUGCAUAUUUUACAUUGAAAAUAUGACUGCUUUGAGAGACUGUAAUAUUAGUAACUGUUUAAAUUAAACUGUAAAACAAUGCAAUAUGUUAUACAUGUAUUUUAAUGUGUUAUGUCUAGAAUGUUGAGAGUAAUGUUUACAUGUAUAUAGUUGAAGUAAAGAGGAGAAUAAAACUAGUUGAUUAUUC
Ruditapes philippinarum (Manila clam) is the source of this 1235-nucleotide long non-coding RNA. RefSeq lists it as uncharacterized. The record is from RefSeq and is a predicted model, not a curated record. The transcript is spliced from 2 exons. NCBI's taxonomy places the organism in Eukaryota, Metazoa, Mollusca, Bivalvia, Venerida, Veneridae.